UACGAAGGGGGCUAGCGUUGUUCGGAAUUACUGGGCGUAGAGGGCGCGUAGGCGGCUGUUCAAGUCGGGGGUGAAAUCCCGUGGCUCAACCACGGAAUGGCCUUCGAUACUGGACGGCUGGAGACCGGAAGAGGUGAGUGGAACUGCGAGUGUAGAGGUGAAAUUCGUAGAUAUUCGCAAGAACACCAGUGGCGAAGGCGGCUCACUGGUCCGGUUCUGACGCUGAGGCGCGAAAGCGUGGGGAGCAAACAGG
This 253-nucleotide ribosomal RNA is filed under the name uncultured bacterium. Its description in RNAcentral is "partial 16S ribosomal RNA". It matches the Rfam family "Bacterial small subunit ribosomal RNA", at positions 524 to 776 of the family's 1533-position model. The record is from RNAcentral.